Molecule: ribosomal RNA, 253 nt
Filed under: uncultured bacterium
Lineage: Bacteria
Description: partial 16S ribosomal RNA
Rfam family: Bacterial small subunit ribosomal RNA
Source: RNAcentral
UACGAAGGGGGCUAGCGUUGUUCGGAAUUACUGGGCGUAAAGCGCACGUAGGCGGACUGUUUAGUCAGGGGUGAAAUCCCGGGGCUCAACCCCGGAACUGCCUUUGAUACUGGCAUUCUCGAGUCCGGAAGAGGUGAGUGGAAUUCCGAGUGUAGAGGUGAAAUUCGUAGAUAUUCGGAGGAACACCAGUGGCGAAGGCGGCUCACUGGUCCGGUACUGACGCUGAGGUGCGAAAGCGUGGGGAGCAAACAGG